This 279-nucleotide ribosomal RNA is filed under the name uncultured bacterium. RNAcentral's name for it is "partial 16S ribosomal RNA". It matches the Rfam family "Bacterial small subunit ribosomal RNA", at positions 506 to 784 of the family's 1533-position model. The record is from RNAcentral.
UGCCAGCAGCCGCGGUAAUACGGAGGGUGCAAACGUUAAUCGGAAUUACUGGGCGUAAAGCGCGCGUAGGUGGUUCAUCAAGUGGGAUGUGAAAGCCCAGGGCUUAACCUUGGAAUUGCAUUCCAAACUGACGAACUAGAGUACGAUAGAGGGGGGUAGAAUUCAGAGUGUAGCGGUGAAAUGCGUAGAUAUUCUGAGGAAUACCAGUGGCGAAGGCGGCCCCCUGGACAAAGACUGACGCUCAUGUACGAAAGCGUGGGGAGCAAACAGGAUUAGAUA